GCGAGUGACUGCGUGAGGGAGUGUGUGAGUAAUAAGUGUGUGUGUGUGAGUGAGUGUGUGAGUAAUAAGUGUGUGUGAGUGAGUGUGUGAGUAAUAAGUGUGUGUGUGAGUGAGUGUGUGAGUAAUAAGUGUGUGUGAGUGAGUGUGUGAGUAAUAAGUGUGUGUGAGUGAGUGUGUGAGUAAUAAGUGUGUGUGUGAGUGAGUGUGUGAGUAAUAUGUGUGUGUGAGUGAGUGUGUGAUAAUAGUGUGUGUGUGUGUGAGUGAGUGUGUGAGUAAUAAGUGUGUGUGAGUGUGUGAGUAAUAAGUGUGUGUGAGUGAGUGAGUGUGUGAGUAAUAAGUGUGUGCGAGUAAUAGUGUGUGUGUGUGAGUGAGUGUGUGAGUAAUAAGUGUGUGUGUGUGAGUGAGUGUGUGAGUAAUAGUGUGUGUGUGUGUGAGUGAGUGUGUGAGUAAUAAGUGUGUGUGUGAGUGAGUGUGUGAGUAAUAAGUGUGUGUGUGUGAGUGAGUGUGUGAGUAUUAAGUGUGUGUGUGUGUGAGUGAGUGUGUGAGUAAUAAGUGUGUGUGUGUGAGUGAGUGUGUGAGUAAUAAGUGUGUGUGUGUGUGAGUGAGUGUGUGAGUAAUAAGUGUGUGUGUGAGUGAGUGUGUGAGUAAUAAGUGUGUGUGUGUGAGUGAGUGUGUGAGUAAUAAGUGUGUGUGUGUGUGUGAGUGAGUGUGCGAGUAAUAAGUGUGUGUGUGAGUGAGUGUGUGAGUAAUAAGUGUGUGUGUGUGAUUGAGUGUGUGAGUAAUAAGUGUGUGUGUGUGAGUGAGUGUGUGAGUAAUAAGUGUGUGUGUGAGUGAGUGAGUGUGUGAGUAAUAAGUGUGUGUGUGUGAGUGAGUGUGUGAGUAAUAAGUGUGUGUGUGUGAGUGAGUGUGUGAGUAAUAAGUGUGUGUGUGAGUGAGUGUGUGAGUAAUAAGUGUGUGUGUGUGUGAGUGAGUGUGUGAGUAAUAAGUCUGUGUGAGUAAUAAGUGUGUGUGUGUGAGUGAGUGUGUGAGUAAUAAGUCUGUGUGAGUAAUAAGUGUGUGUGUGUGUGAGUGAGUGUGUGAGUAAUAAGUCUGUGUGAGUAAUAAGUGUGUGUGUGUGAGUGAGUGUGUGAGUAAUAAGUGUGUGUGUGUGAGUGAGUGUGUGAGUAAUAAGUGUGUGUGAGUGAGUGAGUGUGUGAGUAAUAAGUGUGUGUGAGUGAGUGAGUGUGUGAGUAAUAAGUGUGUGUGAGUGUGUGAGUAAUGAAGUGUGUGUGAGUGAGUGAGUGUGU
This is a long non-coding RNA of Ictalurus punctatus (channel catfish), 1286 nucleotides long. NCBI's taxonomy places the organism in Eukaryota, Metazoa, Chordata, Actinopteri, Siluriformes, Ictaluridae. The record is from Ensembl.